Molecule: long non-coding RNA, 1359 nt
Filed under: Lathyrus oleraceus (garden pea)
Lineage: Eukaryota; Viridiplantae; Streptophyta; Magnoliopsida; Fabales; Fabaceae
Description: Pisum sativum (pea) long non-coding RNA (PSAT_LNC040866)
Source: RNAcentral
UAGAGCUUCCAUAUUCAAAUUUGAGUUAUAUGAAUAAAUUUAAUAUCAUUAUACUAACAUAAUCAUCAGUUAGAAUUUCAAUAUGACUUUAUCUUAAUGGAUUGGGCUGACAAGGUGUUAAGGUUUAUGUGCAUGAAUAACCACCUAGCCACAAGACUUGAAGACUUUAAAUAUUUUAAUUUUGUUUGGAAAACUGAUUUAUCAUGAAGCUUAAAGUAUCUAAAUAAAAUAAAAAAGGGAAAAAGAUUGUUAGAAGAAAGUAGAAGCAUCUCCUUGAAGAAUUAUUCUUCCAAGGUCAUUGUGAAGGAAGAUGAAGAUAGUUUCUAUGAAUAUGUUGGUGUGUUCUUUAAUUGUUCAACAAGUAUAUGAUAAGACUCAAAAUAAUAAGUUUUUAUUAGUGAUCCAAAUUAUUGUGAAAUUUUGAAUAAGUUAUCUAAGUUUGUCGAUGCAUAAGUUCAAGCAAUGAAGUAAUUAGUCAUUAUUGGGCGGGAAGACACAAGUAAAGAUAAUCAAAGCAUGUGUCAUUCCACUUCAUUUUUUAUUUUAUUAAGGAGUGUCUGAGAAUAUCUCUCCAAACGUGAAAAUAAAGACAUAUUCAAUUAUAUAUUGUUUUGAUCGUAUUGUCCUUUUACUUAAGUUUUUUAUACUAACCAUUACUUGUGCAACAAUUAGAGCCUAAAUCAUCAAAUUUGUAUGAUCGUUCUACGCUCCUCCACUUUCUAUUAGUGUGCCUUUAAUUAUUUGUUGAUAUUUCUUUGUUUGAUGUAUUUUGUGUAUGUAUUAUAUGUUUGUUAUGUGUGCAUAAUAUAUCUCAUUCAUAUCUACAUUGUAUUGUCAUCUAGAUCAUUUUAGUUAUCUGAUUUUUUUGUGUAAUCAUCUGCAUCGUGACAUUUGUUGAGAUGAUUUUUUUUCGCAUUAAGAAUAUCUUGCAUCAAAGUUUCAUUAAUUUCUUACAGCGAACUAUUGUUUUUUCAUCUGUGGAUAGCGUUCUUCAUCCAUCAAUGCAUCAUUAAAAAAAUUUCAUAUAAUAUUAACCUUUUUAGAAUAUUCAUUAAAACAUAUUCUACUUGUAUAUCUACAAUACCAUAAUCAAAUAUGGUAUUCAAAUCCUCCAAUAUAUCUACAAUACCAUAAUGAAAUACCCGUUUUAUAAUAUUACAUUCUCUUAAUCAUCAUAUCCGUCUUAAUUUUGAUUGGCAUGCUAAAGAAGUAGUGAAGCUAAUUGUCAUUAGCUCGUUAUUACUUAACAUUUUGAACACAUAUUAGGUCAUUAAACUUAUACAUGACUCAAAGUUACACAAGGAUAUUUCAAAGUGUCUAUCCAUGAUCAUGCAUGGAACAAAAAAGUUUCUUGAAUCA